RNAcentral lists this unclassified non-coding RNA (186 nucleotides) under fungal sp. RNAcentral's name for it is "partial internal transcribed spacer region". The stretch from base 1 to 46 matches the Rfam family "Eukaryotic small subunit ribosomal RNA", at positions 1786 to 1831 of the family's 1831-position model. The record is from RNAcentral. Lineage: Eukaryota; Fungi.
AAGUCGUAACAAGGUUUCCGUAGGUGAACCUGCGGAAGGAUCAUUAUCAAUGAUAUCCAUCAUACCCGUGAACGAUAUGAACUGACUUUCGGGGAUUUCGUUCCCGAAUAUUCAAACACAAUUUAUACUUUAUUCAGAUACACGACAUACAAAAUACAACUUUUAGCAACGGAUCUCUAGGUUCUC